RNAcentral lists this ribosomal RNA (496 nucleotides) under uncultured bacterium. Its description in RNAcentral is "partial 16S ribosomal RNA". It matches the Rfam family "Bacterial small subunit ribosomal RNA", at positions 29 to 507 of the family's 1533-position model. The record is from RNAcentral.
AUGAACGCUGGCGGCGUGCCUAAUACAUGCAAGUCGAGCGAACAGACGAGGAGCUUGCUCCUCUGACGUUAGCGGCGGACGGGUGGGUAACACGUGGAUAACCUACCUAUAAGACUGGGAUAACUUCGGGAAACCGGAGCUAAUACCGGAUAAUAUAUUGAACCGCAUGGUUCAAUAGUGAAAGACGGUUUUGCUGUCACUUAUAGAUGGAUCCGCGCCGCAUUAGCUAGUUGGUAAGGUAACGGCUUACCAAGGCAACGAUGCGUAGCCGGCCUGAGAGGGUGAUCGGCCACACUGGAACUGAGACACGGUCCAGACUCCUACGGGAGGCAGCAGUAGGGAAUCUUCCGCAAUGGGCGAAAGCCUGACGGAGCAACGCCGCGUGAGUGAUGAAGGUCUUCGGAUCGUAAAACUCUGUUAUUAGGGAAGAACAAAUGUGUAAGUAACUAUGCACGUCUUGACGGUACCUAAUCAGAAAGCCACGGCUAACUACGUG